This 781-nucleotide long non-coding RNA is filed under the name Nicotiana tabacum (common tobacco). RNAcentral describes it as "long non-coding RNA (NTAB_LNC016833)". Lineage: Eukaryota; Viridiplantae; Streptophyta; Magnoliopsida; Solanales; Solanaceae. The record is from RNAcentral.
CGUGCCCCAUUCGUCUGUGGAUGUGGCGAUCUCGGAGAAGCCUUAAGAAGAGUCCGUGAAGGUGCUGCUAUGAUUAGGACCCAAGGGGAUCUAUUAGGUACAGGUAACAUUGUGGACACAGUUCGCAAUGUGAGGAAAGUGAUGGGAGAUGUUAGAGUUUUAUCAAACAUGGACGAAGAUGAGGUUUUCACUUUUUCAAAAAAGAUCUCCGCGCCUUAUGAUAUUGUCGCACAAACGAAGCAGAUGGGUAGACUUCCGGUGGUACAUUUUGCAGCUGGUGGUAUCGUGACCCCAGCGGAUGCAGCGCUCAUGAUGCAGCUGGGUUGUGAUGGCGUGUUUUUGGGACCUGAUAUAUUUAACUGCUCGGAUCCUUAUAAGAAAGUUAGGGCGAUUGUGCAGGCUGUUAGAAACUAUAAUGAUCCUCAUAUUUUGGCUGCGGCAAGCAGUGGCUUGGAGGAAGCAAUGGGUGGUUUAAAUUUGAACGAGAACAGGGUCGAGCGAUUUGUUAGUGCAGAAGAGACUUAUUGAUGAGACUAUUGGUUAGCUUGUCUUAUUUGUCUGUUGUUUUAUCAUAUUAUUAUGUAUUUUUCAGUUCUGUAUUUGUGAGCGGUGUUAUCUUUCUUGGUUUACUUUUGCAAUAACAUGAUGAUGAGUUAAGCAUAGCAUAUCUUGUCCUUGUUCACAUGCUUGUGACACAAAAUGAAAAUGGUAACAUUGAUUAUAGUUGACUUGAAAUGAAAUGACUGUGGCUACUACAUUGUGGAGGCACGUUCAUUAAUUU